UGAAGGAGGCAGAGGAAUAGCUAAACAUUUGACACUCCGAUCAAGAGAGAGCAGGAGAGAGAGAGAAGCCAUUGCUAGCUGCUAAGCUAAAGAACGAUAGCUAACAAAACUGAAUAGCUUGUAAACUGUAGGAUUAGAGAGAAAGUCGUUAAAAGAAGGAGAGAGUUAUGAGUGCUUGAUCAGAACUAGUGUACGUUCAAAUGUAUAGCAGAUAAUUAGCUGCUGUAAUGAAGAAUCAAACUAAAUUAACUAGGAUGAGCAAGAGCAGCAAAAAUAUGCUUCCAGUUUGAUUCAGACCUGGUUACAAACUACAAGAGCAGACAGCCUAAUGUCAUCCUCAAGAGUCCUGGUGAAAACAAGCGCUAACGGGAGUAUCAGAAUUUCAGUCAGAAUAUCUUCUUCAGUUCUAUUCAUUUUACUUGCCUAUUAAAAUUAAGAAAAGGUUAGAGGAAUGAGGGAAGAGAAAUCUGUGAUUCUUAGAUGCAUCAGCUAAUCUCCCAGAACCACCUGAAAGCAAGGAUGUAGGAGACAUCUUCUGCAGGUAGACACACACACACACACACACACACACACACUUUCUGGAUAUUUGGGGGUCAAUAAUUUUACACUGAAAUGGGCCAUUCUGUUUAAUUUGUACUUUUACUUUUGAUGCUUUAGGUAAAUUUUGCUGGUAAUAUUGAGUACUUCCUCCACCACUGUCAGUACGAUGUACUUCAUUCAUUCACUAAUACUUGUGCCUUAAAAUGAAUGUGUUUUAAUGUAAAAACAGUUGUAGGCCUUUCCUGUGAAAGUAGAAUUGCUAAAAAUGCGCGGAUGAAGGGCUCCUAAUGUUACCAAAAUUUGCUUUGUUGCAUGUCUCUGCAGCUCUACACCUAAACACUUCACUUGUGCGUGGCUCCUUUUUCUUCUUUAUCCUCACAAACCAAACCAACCUGUUACACCACAUUGGGCUACGUAGUUUUACACCAAUUCCAAAAUGUUUGUCAGUGAUGGUAUGUACACUUAUUUAUUAUGUUAUUGUGACUGAUCUGUUUAAUUUAUUUGAAGUGAAGACUGGUGGAAGCCGGCAGGCAGACAGUACGAGCUUGCUUUCUUGGGCUGGCGGGGUGCAUGGUCUUCCCCUAAAUCUGUUGAUUUAGCACUGGCGUCUGCGGGGGGCAAAAUAAGAACACAAGCUCUUCCAAAGCUUGAUGUUUACUUUUUUCUGUCCAAGGCCGAAUUUAGCGUGACGUUAAGGCUGAUGAGUCCUGUGAUGUGUGCUACCUGUGAUUUCCUACGGUGCUGAUUGUUCAUGAAACUCCAUUUGGAUCUGUGUUGUUUAAAAGCUGCUUUUAAUUGUUGUUUGUUAGGUCACCACAGGGUGGCUGUGGGUAACUGUGAUGUCACUAUUUGCCAACUUGCACUACUUCAGUUCUUCCUUCAGUCCAUGAAACCAGAGGGAGAAAUAAAAAAAUGAUGCGCAGUA
Siniperca chuatsi (mandarin fish) is the source of this 1465-nucleotide long non-coding RNA. RefSeq lists it as uncharacterized. The transcript is spliced from 3 exons. The record is from RefSeq and is a predicted model, not a curated record. NCBI's taxonomy places the organism in Eukaryota, Metazoa, Chordata, Actinopteri, Centrarchiformes, Sinipercidae.